This 497-nucleotide ribosomal RNA is filed under the name uncultured bacterium. RNAcentral's name for it is "partial 16S ribosomal RNA". It matches the Rfam family "Bacterial small subunit ribosomal RNA", at positions 28 to 507 of the family's 1533-position model. The record is from RNAcentral.
GAUGAACGCUGGCGGCGUGCCUAAUACAUGCAAGUCGAGCGAACGGACGAGAAGCUUGCUUCUCUGAUGUUAGCGGCGGACGGGUGAGUAACACGUGGAUAACCUACCUAUAAGACUGGGAUAACUUCGGGAAACCGGAGCUAAUACCGGAUAAUAUUUUGAACCGCAUGGUUCAAAAGUGAAAGACGGCCUUGCUGUCACUUAUAGAUGGAUCCUCGCUGCAUUAGCUAGUUGGUAAGGUAACGGCUUACCAAGGCAACGAUGCAUAGCCGACCUGAGAGGGUGAUCGGCCACACUGGAACUGAGACACGGUCCAGACUCCUACGGGAGGCAGCAGUAGGGAAUCUUCCGCAAUGGGCGAAAGCCUGACGGAGCAACGCCGCGUGAGUGAUGAAGGUCUUCGGAUCGUAAAACUCUGUUAUUAGGGAAGAACAUAUGUGUAAGUAACUGUGCACAUCUUGACGGUACCUAAUCAGAAAGCCACGGCUAACUACGUG